This 322-nucleotide ribosomal RNA is filed under the name uncultured bacterium. Its description in RNAcentral is "bacterial SSU rRNA". It matches the Rfam family "Bacterial small subunit ribosomal RNA", at positions 437 to 775 of the family's 1533-position model. The record is from RNAcentral.
AGACAGGGCAGAAACAAGACAGUACCUGUAGAAUAAGCUUCGGCUAACUACGUGCUAGCAGCCGCGGUAAUACGUAGGGAGCAAGCGUUAUCCGGAUUUAUUGGGUGUAAAGGGUGCGUAGACGGGUAUAUAAGUUAGUUGUGAGAUCCCUCGGCUCAACUGAGGAACUGCAACUAAAACUGUAAAUCUUGAGUGCGGGAGAGGAAAGUGGAAUUCCUAGUGUAGCGGUGAAAUGCGUAGAUAUUAGGAGGAACACCAGUGGCGAAGGCGACUUUCUGGACCGUAACUGACGUUGAGGCACGAAAGUGUGGGGAGCAAACAG